RNAcentral lists this ribosomal RNA (253 nucleotides) under uncultured prokaryote. Its description in RNAcentral is "partial 16S ribosomal RNA". It matches the Rfam family "Bacterial small subunit ribosomal RNA", at positions 524 to 776 of the family's 1533-position model. The record is from RNAcentral.
UACGUAGGGCGCAAGCGUUGUCCGGAAUUAUUGGGCGUAAAGAGCUCGUAGGCGGCCAGUUGCGUCCGCUGUGAAAUCCCGGGGCUUAACCCCGGGCGUGCAGUGGAUACGGGCAGGCUGGAGGCAGGCAGGGGAGAACGGAAUUCCCGGUGUAGCGGUGAAAUGCGCAGAUAUCGGGAGGAACACCUGUGGCGAGAGCGGCGCACUGGACCACAACUGACGCUGAUGCGCGAAAGCUAGGGGAGCAAACAGG